This 492-nucleotide ribosomal RNA is filed under the name uncultured bacterium. RNAcentral describes it as "partial 16S ribosomal RNA". It matches the Rfam family "Bacterial small subunit ribosomal RNA", at positions 28 to 507 of the family's 1533-position model. The record is from RNAcentral.
GGUGAACGCUGGCGGUAGGCCUAACACAUGCAAGUCGAACGGCAGCACAGUAAGAGCUUGCUCUUACGGGUGGCGAGUGGCGGACGGGUGAGGAAUACAUCGGAAUCUACUUUUUCGUGGGGGAUAACGUAGGGAAACUUACGCUAAUACCGCAUACGACCUACGGGUGAAAGCAGGGGAUCUUCGGACCUUGCGCGAUUGAAUGAGCCGAUGUCGGAUUAGCUAGUUGGCGGGGUAAAGGCCCACCAAGGCGACGAUCCGUAGCUGGUCUGAGAGGAUGAUCAGCCACACUGGAACUGAGACACGGUCCAGACUCCUACGGGAGGCAGCAGUGGGGAAUAUUGGACAAUGGGCGCAAGCCUGAUCCAGCCAUACCGCGUGGGUGAAGAAGGCCUUCGGGUUGUAGAGCCCUUUUGUUGGGAAAGAAAAGCAGCAGGUUAAUACCCCGCUGUUCUGACGGUACCCAAAGAAUAAGCACCGGCUAACUUCGUG